This 483-nucleotide ribosomal RNA is filed under the name uncultured bacterium. Its description in RNAcentral is "partial 16S ribosomal RNA". It matches the Rfam family "Bacterial small subunit ribosomal RNA", at positions 29 to 506 of the family's 1533-position model. The record is from RNAcentral.
AUUGAACGCUGGCGGCAUGCUUUACACAUGCAAGUCGAACGGCAGCGCGGGCUUCGGCCUGGCGGCGAGUGGCGAACGGGUGAGUAAUACAUCGGAACGUGUCCAGUAGUGGGGGAUAGCUCGGCGAAAGCCGGAUUAAUACCGCAUACGACCUGAGGGUGAAAGCGGGGGAUCUUCGGACCUCGCGCUAUUGGAGCGGCCGAUGGCAGAUUAGCUAGUUGGUGGGGUAAAGGCCUACCAAGGCGACGAUCUGUAGCUGGUCUGAGAGGACGACCAGCCACACUGGGACUGAGACACGGCCCAGACUCCUACGGGAGGCAGCAGUGGGGAAUUUUGGACAAUGGGCGAAAGCCUGAUCCAGCAAUGCCGCGUGUGUGAUGAAGGCCUUCGGGUUGUAAAGCACUUUUGGCGGGAACGAAAAGGACUGUGCCAAGACCACGGUUCGAUGACGGUACCCGCAGAAUAAGCACCGGCGAACUACGU